Molecule: ribosomal RNA, 445 nt
Filed under: uncultured bacterium
Lineage: Bacteria
Description: partial 16S ribosomal RNA
Rfam family: Bacterial small subunit ribosomal RNA
Source: RNAcentral
GUAGGGAAUAUUGGGCAAUGGAGGCAACUCUGACCCAGCCAUGCCGCGUGCAGGAUGACGGCCCUCUGGGUUGUAAACUGCUUUUAUACGGGAAGAAAAAAUACUACGUGUAGUAUACUGACGGUACCGUAAGAAUAAGGAUCGGCUAACUCCGUGCCAGCAGCCGCGGUAAUACGGAGGAUCCAAGCGUUGUCCGGAUUUAUUGGGUUUAUAGGGUGCGUAGGCGGAUCUUUAAGUCAGUGGUGAAAGCCUGCAGCUUAACUGUAGAAUUGCCAUUGAAACUGACGAUCUUGAAUGUGGUUAAAGUAGGCGGAAUGUAUCAUGUAGCGGUGAAAUGCUUAGAUAUGAUACAGAACACCGAUAGCGAAGGCAGCUUGCUGAACCAUUAUUGACGCUGAGGCACGAAAGCGUGGGGAGCGAACAGGAUUAGAAACCCCUGUAGUCC